UAUUGCACAAUGGGGGAAACCCUGAUGCAGCGACGCCGCGUGAGUGAAGAAGUAUUUCGGUAUGUAAAGCCCUAUCAGCAGGGAAGAUAAUGACGGUACCUGACUAAGAAGCCCCGGCUAACUACGUGCCAGCAGCCGCGGUAAUACGUAGGGGGCAAGCGUUAUCCGGAUUUACUGGGUGUAAAGGGAGCGUAGGUGGCAGGGCAAGUCAGAUGUGAAACCCCGGGGCUCAACCCCGGGAGUGCAUUUGAAACUGUCCAGCUGGAGUGCAGGAGAGGUAAGCGGAAUUCCUAGUGUAGCGGUGAAAUGCGUAGAUAUUACGAGGAACACCAGUGGCGAAGGCGGCCUGCUGGGCUUUUACUGACGCUGAGGCUCGAAAGCGUGGGUAGCAAACAGG
Molecule: ribosomal RNA, 397 nt
Filed under: uncultured bacterium
Lineage: Bacteria
Description: bacterial SSU rRNA
Rfam family: Bacterial small subunit ribosomal RNA
Source: RNAcentral